AAAUUGCCUCUACUGGUGUUUUGUGGGUGAGCCCAGCAUAAAGCAGUGUCCAAACUCUCCUUGAACUCUGGCUAUUGGGGCUGUGCCUGCUGCCUUCUGGUACAGAACCUGUCCUUCAUCCCACCCUGGCCUUCCCCUGAAGCAAUUCCAUGCCAUUCCUUCAGGUCUUAACUUCCUUCAGAUCUUCAUGUCAGCCCUACUGCAGCGAGGGAGUCAUAAGCUGCGUGUUGUCUGCUGCGUUCCUGUACGGUACAUAAGGGAGCUCAGAAAAGCUCUGCGUUAUUUCCGACCCACACAGAGCAGUGAGCCAAACGAAUGAAGAGGAAGUGAAUGUAGCUCAACACACUGCAGUAGAAUAGACAGUAGUUCAUAUACGCAUAUGUGUAAGCAACUUUACUGAAAUUGGUCGAUUUCACGAUAUCUGAUUGGUAGACAUGAUAAUUGAUAAAGCAGUCAGGGAUUAUUUGAGAAUCUAUGUAGUGUGCAGAAUGCUUCAGGCAUUGUAUAAAGGGCUGUUUUAAAGCAGGCUCAAGUGAGGCGCUGCUAGGCUGAAAAGAACAUGUAAUUUGAGGCUGGUACAACACCCAGUGGUCAUUUAUCCAUCCUCAUAAAUUCUGGUAAAGCUAGGCUAUAUUUCUUCUGAAAUCAACUAUAAACGAUGUUGGAAAAUAUCUCUAAAUCAUUUGUAUGGGUACUUAUUUCGCUUUAAGAUUUCUUUUUUCCCCAUCCUGUUACUUCUGUGUACAACAUGCACUUCAUUAAACUCUGGCUGGUAAAUCGGAUCUUUAAAAAUCUUUUCUUCACUAUGGAUGGUUAAGCGGUGUUUUGCCAUAAUGUUUGACUUCAUCUUUGAUAAAAUAAAUGGGCAGAGCUUUAAAUGUAUAAAGCGUAGCCAACCUGCAUAGGCUGUUUAUAGGCUGGGUUAGUGAGGAUGGACAUAAUUGUAGUAUCCUGUCCACAAAAACAUGGUGAUAAAAAGAGCUACCAGCUGUGUGGGGGACAUGAAUGAGAGAAGUGGGAUAAAUAGCAUCAUGGGAGGGCUGAUCUUCUGAUGAACAGUUUGUAUCAGAAGGGCGGGAUUUAAGUUCAGUGAGGAGACAUGCAGAUCAGUGCUCUUCUGAUUCUAGAGUUCUUAAACUGUACUACUCUCAAAUGAAUCGGAGGAAAACCAAGUCCUCUUACUGGGACUCACUUAGUUUCUUUCUGGCUUAGUGUACUCAAGAAAGAUUUUUAUUUGUUUUAGGAGCCUAUAGAGACUCAAAUCUUGCACAGACCAAAGUCUGCUCAUGUCUUAUCUCUGUUUUCCCAUGACUACCUGUUUUGAGCACUUCAUUCUUCUGAGGCUGGUAAAGAAGCACAGAACAUCCAUAGUACUUUGCUUGCAAUGUUUUUUUUAUGUGAAUGGAAGUGUUGCUCUGUGAUACUAGAGCUCUCACUUAUAUUUCUGACCACUUAUUUAAACAAAAGGUUAUAAAGCUAGUGACAUCUUGGCAGAAAGAUUUCAAACACGCUUUUUUUUUUCUUUCUCCUCUCAGAUCUCUACAACUUACAUUGACUUGAAGGUAGAUAGUUCUGGCUGUCAACUGACUUCUGGCUGUCUCACUGAUUUGAAAGUCUAACGAAUUUCAAGUUUAAUAAAAUCAAUUGUUUUGAAGUUGGGUUUACUACCAGAUGAAGCAGAAGUCAACAAAAAUAUUUACUUAAAUUCUUGAUUAAGAGCAUUGAGGAACCACAGUUAAUUGUACUUAUGCUGUGUGUACAAUAUCAGUGUACCUUCCAUUAUAUGAACUGUUGUCUUAAGGCAUGUUCUAAGCAAAGGUAUUCACUGUGUUAUUCAUUAUUGUAAGUCUUCCAGCUUGUUAGUGAUGUGAAUAUAAGGUAAUAAUCAUGGUGGGUUACUCUUCCUGAAAAUAUUUGUUACUGUAUUACAAGGUGAUUUUUUAAUGACUGAAUUAUUUAUACUGUUCCUUUGAGGGCCUUACUAAACAUUAAUAAAUCAGCUUUCUGUCCUUAUAUCUCUCUCUUUCUCUGAGGUCCUGAGACAGAGAUACCCAUCUUGGUCUGAUUUGUGGCCUGAGAAGCAUGCAAAAGAACUGCAUAAUUAUGAUACUCAGUUUAUGUUUUCCAAACUGGAAAGAAAAAGAAAUUGUUGUCACAAAAAUGUAUUUCUUUUCCACGAUUGUCACUGUCUUAGUUUCAUCUGGAUGGAAAUGUUUUCCUUAGAGUGUCUGCUAUGAUGUUUUGGUUUUGGAAAAUCAUCUGCAUGUAGUUAUCAUACCCACACUCAUCCCUUCUCUACUUUUUUUUUUUUUAAAGAUAAAACUAUAUGUUUAAAAAAAGAGGAAGAUAGUUGUGACUAUAUGUAUUUAUAUUUAUUUUUAUAUAUCAGUGUAUAAAAUAAGUGAUGCACAAGCAAUUUGUUCCCACCCCCUGCCUGAUGCCCAGCUAGCCCCCUGAGCAGCGUAGAAGAGAAGGAUUCUGUCCCCCCUUCAAAACCCCUUCCGCUUGAUGUCAUAUGGUAUGGAAUAUCUCUUUGGCCAGUUUAAGUUAGUAGUCCUGUUUCUGCUCCCUCCCAGUUCCUUAUGCCCUUCGCUGUGAGUGGCCUUGGCUCUAUAUGACCCUGCUUAUCAACAACUGUGAACAUCACGGUGUUAUCAAUGUUGUUUUUCUUCUAGAACAAAACAUAAGCAUCAUACCAGACACUCUAAAAGAAAACAAUUCCAUCCCAGCUGGAAAUAAGGCAAUUGCUAAUCUAAUUCUUCAAGAGAAUCCUCCUUGGCACUGGAGCCAAUCAGUGUACAGCAACCAUUUGUCUGCUGUGUUGGGUUUUACCCUAUAUAAAAAGUGGCUGACCCACCCUUACCUGACAUAGGUUAUUUAACUUAACUCAAAUCCUCAGUUAAGCUUUUAUGGUUAUGGAUUAGAAAACAGAUAACCAUCAAACAAAACAGCAAUCUAGCAUAAUGAUAAAUGUAUAUUUACAUGCAGUCAACUUGUUUUAAAUAGAAGUAGAUUUAUUUAGUGCUAUUUAAAAAAAAAAGCAGUUUUUCAAAUAUUGAAAUAAGUAUGUAAGUGUACUAAAGCACAUAGUUGGAAGGAUAAAAUUGGCGUAUUGAAACAUCUAAUGAAAAAUCUAAUCUCUUGGAUACUUUUCAGGAAAUACUACUUAGAGAGGAUAAUUUUGAAAGACCAUCUAAUCUGAACUUUUUAAACUACAUUUGAUAGGGGAGGUGGAUGCACUCCUGAGUAACACAGAAGAAUCAGGAAACAGUAUCACUCUAAGAAGGAGCAGGGAAAAACAUCAGAUUUGUCUCAAAGGAAUUAAAGUUUCUUAAAGAAUGUUGUUGACAGCUCAGCUGAAAUGCUUAAAGGUUCCUUAAAAAUAGGAA
This is a long non-coding RNA of Lagopus muta (rock ptarmigan), 3389 nucleotides long. RefSeq lists it as uncharacterized. The transcript is spliced from 3 exons. NCBI's taxonomy places the organism in Eukaryota, Metazoa, Chordata, Aves, Galliformes, Phasianidae. The record is from RefSeq and is a predicted model, not a curated record.